This 300-nucleotide ribosomal RNA is filed under the name Triticum aestivum (bread wheat). RNAcentral's name for it is "partial small subunit ribosomal RNA". Lineage: Eukaryota; Viridiplantae; Streptophyta; Magnoliopsida; Poales; Poaceae. The record is from RNAcentral.
AUGCAAGAACAGGGGACAAGAUCCAAGUCAUGUUCUGCAAACACUUUGGUACAUGGGGCAAUUUUUGUAACUAGAAGAUUAGGGGGGAAGGAGGAGAGCUCCCCAACGCUACGCCAUGGCAUCCGACGGUGGCUGGGGAAGGAGUUGCACAGGAGAUCUGGGCUGGUGGGCGUUGGGUUUUCUAGUGGUGGGUGGAGGGGAGGAUCACGUGAGGGAAAGGAUGGUUGGUUGUCGAGACGUGGCAACAAGCGAGGGAAAUUGGACUUGCCUUUUUUAGCACAUGGGGUGGGGGACCGAUAG